Molecule: ribosomal RNA, 254 nt
Filed under: uncultured bacterium
Lineage: Bacteria
Description: partial 16S ribosomal RNA
Rfam family: Bacterial small subunit ribosomal RNA
Source: RNAcentral
UACAGAGGGUGCGAGCGUUGUCCGGAAUCACUGGGCGUAAAGGGCGCGUAGGCGGCGUGACAAGUCACUUGUGAAAUCUCCGGGCUUAACUCGGAACGGUCAAGUGAUACUGUUGUGCUAGAGUACAGAAGGGGCAAUCGGAAUUCUUGGUGUAGCGGUGAAAUGCGUAGAUAUCAAGAGGAACACCAGAGGCGAAGGCGGAUUGCUGGGACUGAUACUGACGCUGAGGCGCGAAAGCUAGGGUAGCAAACGGG